GGAAGUUUGACAAAAGAUUUUCAAUUUCAAUAAUAAAUUUCUUUUCUCCGUUCUGACCAUUUGUGCAUCGCAAAUAAAAAUGAGCCUCGGGUCUGGCACGAGCUGAUAGCUACCGCGAAGAGAAGUAAAUAGGGGGGAGAGAAAGAGAACGAGUGAAAAAGAGGGAGGGUGGUUAGGAGAGGGACGUUCUGGCAAUACACGAGCGAGGCACGUAGCGUCCGAUUCAGUCUGCAUCCGACCGCCGCGAGUGUCGCGUCGCGAAGCAGUGGUCGAAUUUCGGGGGGGACACGAGACUCCGAUACGAGUCAGUUCGUGCGAGUGAUCGUGAUACGACACCACUGUCUUUUAUCCCGUGUCUAAGCGGGCAUUUAUUAUUCAUAUUUUGUAUUUUCUUGAAUCGUGAUUUGUAAUAAAAAAAAGGAAAAAUUAGUGAGAAAUCGCAGUUGCGUGUAUUGGUGUUAGAGAAAGAAAGAAAGAGCAGGUCACUGAACGACCAUACGAAGGUAGGAAGAGGGAGAGAGAAAAAUAAAAGACAGACAGAGAAGGAUUUUCGUCGCGACAUAUACACACGUAUAUACACGUGCGAAAGCGAGGAGAGACGUGAAACACGCGCGUGCGCACCCGCGUAACACAUAUACACAUAUAAGAAAGAGAGAGAGCAAGAAAGAGAUAACGAAGACACGGCGCAGGAAGAGGCAAGAGAAUCAGUGACACUGGGAGGGUCGAGUAUUCCUCGUGCAAAACCGCCACCGGAAUAUAUGUCGUGAGUGUGCGACCAAAGAUCCGCGGAUAGAGGCCGGCGAUAGUGCGUGCAGAGCUUUAAGAAGCAAAAAAAAAGCAAAGACUCCGGGUGAAAAGCAAUGCGGGUUCAUUGACUGCGUGCCGCGCAAUGGCUGCAUGUUCGUGGCCGAUGCACAGUGCAUGUGUGACAGGAGCUACGAGGAGGACGACGCCGAGGACGACGAGGUCGAAGAUACCGGCUACGGCCAAUAUCGAACUCGAGACCUACUGAAAUUCUGUUCGAAUUCUGUAUGUGAUCGAGGACUCGAGGACUAUCUUGAUCAAAACUGCGAUAACAACGAGAAACAUUGGAAUUUUUCGUGCUUUUUACGUGAGUAACUCGGUUACUACUGGACUUCAACAAAAUUCUGCGCAUCCAUUUGCAGAUAUGAUAUUAAUUUAUCAGGAUAUUACUAAUGAACACUUAAUCAACAUUUUCUUAUAAAUCUUCAUAAAGUUUUAUCGUUAAUAAUCUCUUGAACUUCUGAAUUUUACCAAAGACACGAAGAGAAUCCUGACACAGACUUUAAUCCAGUUAAAUUAUCUUU
Apis dorsata (giant honeybee) is the source of this 1328-nucleotide long non-coding RNA. RefSeq lists it as uncharacterized. The record is from RefSeq and is a predicted model, not a curated record. NCBI's taxonomy places the organism in Eukaryota, Metazoa, Arthropoda, Insecta, Hymenoptera, Apidae. The transcript is spliced from 2 exons.